This 468-nucleotide ribosomal RNA is filed under the name uncultured bacterium. Its description in RNAcentral is "partial 16S ribosomal RNA". It matches the Rfam family "Bacterial small subunit ribosomal RNA", at positions 28 to 507 of the family's 1533-position model. The record is from RNAcentral.
GACGAACGCUGGCGGCGUGCUUAACACAUGCAAGUCGAACGGAAAGGCCCUGCUUUUGUGGGGUGCUCGAGUGGCGAACGGGUGAGUAACACGUGAGUAACCUGCCCUUGACUUUGGGAUAACUUCAGGAAACUGGGGCUAAUACCCGAUAGGAGCUCCUGCUGCAUGGUGGGGGUUUGAAAGUUUCGGCGGUUGGGGAUGGACUCGCGGCUUAUCAGCUUGUUGGUGGGGUAGUGGCUUACCAAGGCUUUGACGGGUAGCCGGCCUGAGAGGGUGACCGGCGACAAGGGGACUGAGAUACGGACCAGACUCCUACGGGAGGCAGCAGUGGAGAAUAUUGCACAGUGGGCGGAAGCCUGAUGCAGCAACGCCGCGUGCGGGAUGACGGCCUUCGGGUUGUAAACCGCUUUCGCCUGUGACGAAGCGUGAGUGACGGUAAUGGGUAAAGAAGCACCGGCUAACUACGUG